Molecule: ribosomal RNA, 253 nt
Filed under: uncultured bacterium
Lineage: Bacteria
Description: partial 16S ribosomal RNA
Rfam family: Bacterial small subunit ribosomal RNA
Source: RNAcentral
UACGUAGGGGGCUAGCGUUGUCCGGAUUUAUUGGGCGUAAAGAGCGUGUAGGCGGCCAUGUAGGUCCGGUGUGAAAACUCGAGGCUUAACCUCGAGAUGUCAUCGGAAACCAUUUGGCUAGAGUCCGGAAGAGGAGAGUGGGAUUCCUGGUGUAGCGGUGAAAUGCGCAGAUAUCAGGAAGAACACCAAUGGCGAAAGCAGCUCUCUGGGACGGUACUGACGCUGAGACGCGAAAGCGUGGGGAGCAAACAGG